UACGUAUGGUGCAAGCGUUAUCCGGAUUUACUGGGUGUAAAGGGAGCGCAGGCGGCACGGCAAGCCUGAUGUGAAAGCCCGCGGCCCAACCGCGGGACUGCAUUGGGAACUACCGGGCUGGAGUGCCGGAGAGGUAGGCGGAAUUCCUAGUGUAGCGGUGAAAUGCGUAGAUGUUAGGAGGAACACCAGUGGCGAAGGCGGCCUACUGGACGGUGACUGACGCUGAGGCUCGAAAGCGUGGGGAGCAAACAGG
This 253-nucleotide ribosomal RNA is filed under the name uncultured bacterium. Its description in RNAcentral is "partial 16S ribosomal RNA". It matches the Rfam family "Bacterial small subunit ribosomal RNA", at positions 524 to 776 of the family's 1533-position model. The record is from RNAcentral.